GUUCUAACCUAGGUCCAUUAUCUGGAUCGGGGACAGUGCAUGGUAGGCAGUUUGACUGGGGCGGUCUCCUCCCAAAGCGUAACGGAGGAGUUCGAAGGUACGCUAGUUACGGUCGGACAUCGUGACGAUAGUGCAAUGGCAUAAGCGUGCUUAACUGCGAGACUGACAAGUCGAGCAGAUGCGAAAGCAGGACAUAGUGAUCCGGUGGUUCUGUAUGGAAGGGCCAUCGCUCAACGGAUAAAAGGUACUCUGGGGAUAACAGGCUGAUAC
This 270-nucleotide ribosomal RNA is filed under the name Mycobacterium tuberculosis. RNAcentral's name for it is "partial 23S ribosomal RNA". It matches the Rfam family "Bacterial large subunit ribosomal RNA", at positions 2219 to 2488 of the family's 2925-position model. Lineage: Bacteria; Bacillati; Actinomycetota; Actinomycetes; Mycobacteriales; Mycobacteriaceae. The record is from RNAcentral.